Molecule: long non-coding RNA, 1265 nt
Filed under: Taeniopygia guttata (zebra finch)
Lineage: Eukaryota; Metazoa; Chordata; Aves; Passeriformes; Estrildidae
Description: lncRNA (ENSTGUG00000020544.1)
Source: RNAcentral
UAAAAGUUGACUGCUGGAAAGAUGGAAGAGUGAGAAAGUGAUGAAUGUAGAAAUCAGAAUCAAAUUAAGAACCAGUACUUGAGGAAAAAAACAAUGAAAAUUACCCAAUUAUCAGGGGAUGGCUCCACCUAGAAAUUACAGAUAUGUACCAAUGCACCUAAAGAAACCAGACCGCUCUAACACUUCUUGGAUUUCUGCAAUUUUUUGUGGUAUUUUGAUACACUAACAAAAAAAAAAAAAAUCCCUUCUUAGUAGCCUGACUACCUUAAAUUUUAUUGUUACACAGAUGUGUAGUAAACAAAACUAAAAAAGAAAGACCUUAUCUAUUGCAGUCCUGUUUUACAGAUAACAGCUCUUUGCUCGUAAAGCCUGACCAAGUGAGCAGUUGUCACUGAACCAAGAAGUACAUUAGCAGCUGGAUGAAUGAUUUAUUUUUAACAGAGACUAAAUGCAAGCAUUGGAACUAGGAUAUGUAUCAUAUGACAGGAUUCUGUACAGCAGGAAGAGGGCUGGAGUAAUUAAUCCAGGAGACUCCAUCUGGACUGAGAUAUCUCAAAACCAGACUUGCCUGGCACUCAUUUGGAAGAUGGGAAUCCUCACAUUUUAUUCUAACUAGAAGUAUUGAGCUUUGGUGAUAUAGAACUCUCUAGACCUACAGAAGAGGUAAAACCUCACAGAGAUUAAUUUCUUGCUUUCCUCAAUGCAUUUUAUCCAGGUAAGGAAACAUGGAAAAAAGUGUUGGGCCAGUAUAAACAUGAAAAGGCCUGAGAUUGGUCCAUAGUACAAAUGAGAGAUCAGAGAAAAAAUUACAAUCAUGUCAAUGUUAAUGUUAAGCAUAAAAAAGUUGUUCUAUUACAACAGUAGCUUUGUUUCCUCAGGGAGAACUUUUCCAACAAAGAUAUCUAAUGACACUUGCAUUAAACUGCCGGUGUUGUCCAGUUUUUAUGCUGUUUAGAUGCUGCUGAUCCUUGCGUGGCAUAUGACUGGGUACAGUAUCACUUGUUAAACUGCUGUAUGAAUUAGCCACAAAUGUGUAGGUAGGGACAGAAUGACACUUGUACUUUUUUCAUUACUAUGUCUAAGAAGACUUUGGAAGAAGUCUUUGAUAUUAGUCCCAAUCAUAUGUUGCAUCAUAGUGAAUAUUUAGGAAAAUGACAUUAACAGAAGUAUUGUUUCUGGCUGGCAGAGUUGGAGGCUUCUAAGAAGAACACAUGGUACUGAAUGAGGAAGUUAAAAUUCACUGAAAAUUAAAAUAUAUUUUUAAU